RNAcentral lists this transfer RNA (73 nucleotides) under Ailuropoda melanoleuca (giant panda). It matches the Rfam family "tRNA". Rfam says of the family: Transfer RNA (tRNA) molecules are approximately 80 nucleotides in length. Their secondary structure includes four short double-helical elements and three loops (D, anti-codon, and T loops). The record is from Rfam by way of RNAcentral. Lineage: Eukaryota; Metazoa; Chordata; Mammalia; Carnivora; Ursidae.
ACCCAGCGGGCUCAGUUGGUAGAGCAUUGGACUCUUGAUCUCGCAGGUGUGAGUUUGAGCCCCACAUUGGGUG